ACAUUUCCAUCUUUAUUUCCUUUAUAUACAUUUUUAUUUUAUAUAAGAUUUUACAUUCCCCAGUAGAUUGGACGAGAAUUUGACUGGCUGGACGUGAGAGAGGUUGCUGGGUGUGUGAAUAAACAGAGUAGUAAUCGGAAGCCUCAGGAGUUGGGUCUUGAGUUCCUUACACUGUAGACUAGCACCUGACAAUGCCAGAUUCUUAUUUUACCAUUUAAAACUCAGUACCCCUGUCUAAUGUCAGGAAUGAGAGAGAUGACAUCACUGCAGAUCCUGCAGACACUCAGAGACUAGUAGUAAUAAUAUUAUGAACAGCUUCUUGCUAAUACAUUCCCCAGCUUAAGUGAAAUGGACAGAUACCCAGAAAAUUACAAAGGAACUAAGCUUACUCAGAGAUGAAAUGGCCAAUCGCAACAGCCCCCAGCCCCUUUUCUACCGGAACUUGGUAGCUCUGAGAGACAUGGGACUGACGCUCCGGUAACAACUGUCCCUCAGUGUCAUGCCAGCAGACAAGUCCCAUUCUUAUGCCACUGGCCUUCCCAGCCUAAGUUUCAGGCUCUAAAGAUUGCUGUCCUUUAUUCUGGGGGAAGUUUUUCCAGCUCAAACUACACCCUCACCCUCACCACCCUUUUUAAAGCACUGUUUUUGUAUUUUUAUUAGAAUUACAUGCAUUGUCUUUGGAAUCCGUGUUCUUUGUGUCUCUUCCACCAGCCUGCACUCAGACCAACUUGGAGAGAAAAAAAAAAUCUUAAAUGCUGUUGCUGAUGUAAAUUU
This 774-nucleotide long non-coding RNA is filed under the name Mus musculus (house mouse). Its description in RNAcentral is "long non-coding RNA chr2:164154479-164155253". Lineage: Eukaryota; Metazoa; Chordata; Mammalia; Rodentia; Muridae. The record is from RNAcentral.